GGAAUUUUGCGCAAUGGGGGAAACCCUGACGCAGCAACGCCGCGUGAUUGAAGAAGCCCUUCGGGGUGUAAAGAUCUGUCAGUGGGGACGAAACUUGACGGUACCCACAGAGGAAGCAUCGGCUAACUCCGUGCCAGCAGCCGCGGUAAUACGGGGGAUGCAAGCGUUGUCCGGAAUCAUUGGGCGUAAAGAGUUCGUAGGUGGUUUGUUAAGUUAGGUGUUAAAGGCGUAGGCUCAACUUACGUAUGGCACUUGAUACUGGCAGACUUGAAUGCGGUAGAGGUAAAGGGAAUUCCUGGUGUAGCGGUGAAAUGCGUAGAUAUCAGGAGGAACAUCGGAGGCGAAAGCGCUUUACUGGGCCGUAAUUGACACUGAGGAACGAAAGCCAGGGUAGCAAAUG
Molecule: ribosomal RNA, 400 nt
Filed under: uncultured bacterium
Lineage: Bacteria
Description: bacterial SSU rRNA
Rfam family: Bacterial small subunit ribosomal RNA
Source: RNAcentral